UCCUGGUCGAAGAUUUUGGAACUGUGUUUGUAUCAAUGGCAUGCACUCAUGUGGUUUUUUUGAUUGGUUUGAUCCUGCAAUGUGUUCACGGUUAAAGAAGAUCAUUCCCGGAUUGUUGAAGAGGGUGAACCGAGAUGAGGAAGAAAUUAAGAGGCUCAAAGCAUUAUUACAAAGUGUAAAUGGUCCA
Long non-coding RNA from Ipomoea nil (Japanese morning glory), 187 nucleotides. RefSeq lists it as uncharacterized. The transcript is spliced from 2 exons. NCBI's taxonomy places the organism in Eukaryota, Viridiplantae, Streptophyta, Magnoliopsida, Solanales, Convolvulaceae. The record is from RefSeq and is a predicted model, not a curated record.